Molecule: long non-coding RNA, 975 nt
Filed under: Triticum aestivum (bread wheat)
Lineage: Eukaryota; Viridiplantae; Streptophyta; Magnoliopsida; Poales; Poaceae
Description: long non-coding RNA (TAES_LNC021395)
Source: RNAcentral
UGGUGGCGUUGCAGAGGCGUGAAUGAAAAAGUUAGUCUGGGAUACAAUUAUAAUUGUGAGUCCCUCAAUUAUAGAGCGGAUCCAGGUGAAAGAUGUAGGUGGUGUGUGGAUUGAACUCUAGACCGGGAACCUGCAGUACUAGAUGGACGAUAACUAUGCUUACAAUUGUUGAUCGAGAACUGUGAGGUAUGUGCCUGUCCCUCUUCCACCCAUAUCAACAUGUAAUUUUGUAAGAAGCUAAUUUAGUAUAGCAAGAACAUCAUGUUUUAGACACAGACUGCAGAUCGAUGUACUUUGUCCGUAUUUCCUUCACCAAAGCAUGCGUUGUGAGAUCAUGAUUACUACCAGGUACAACAUUGCAAUUUAUUUUCCAGAAUGUUCCUUGAACACACUCCCAAGUUCCCAACCAUCAGCAAUUAUAGUCUCCUCAAUUCGGAUGCAUAGGAAUGCAACUUUUAUCCGAAUGUGCAACAAAAGCAUGUUGUUUGUAUCUGUUGACCAUUGAAAUCCCAAGACCAAUGCAUGGAGAAGUAGCCUGUGAACCCUAAGUUAUUUAUUGAGAAAUUAAACCACAUAUUUGACUACUUAUUGAUCUCCGAUCUCUAUAAAUUAUCCUUAAUCUGUUUUUUGUGAAGACAGCGGAUGAGAAAGAAACAGUAUCCAGGACCGUGUACUAUACUAACAUUGUAAUUAUGGGUCCAUGCCACCUAUUUCUAUUUUGAAGCUGUUCUUUUAGGAACAGAUGAUUACACAUGAAGUAAUGUUUUCCAUGACUAUGUACUAUACUAACAUUAGAAAUUAUGCGUCCAUGCUAGGUAUUUAUAUUUUGAAGCAAUUCCGUCAGGAACAGAUGAUCACACAAUAACUUUUGAUAAAUCCUUUUUACCUAGCUUCUGAUUUCUAUUAUCAGAAACAGAUUGUCUGUUCUUACAGGAAACAUCUACAAACAGCCGUUAUUCGUUAUUGUGCUCUUCC